UACAGUCGAGCUUAAUAUCAGAAUAUUCUAUUACCUGUUAUUAUUAUUAUCUAUUAUUCCCGCUAUGAAUAUUAAAAUACGCUGAACCAUUUGUCCUGUAUCAUAGCUACAUGUAUGACGUUUGCAGCAAAAAAAAUCAAAAUAAAAAACGCGUGAAAAUCAGUUUAAUAUUCAGAGUUAAGAUGGAUUAAAUGCGCUGUCAAACAGCGCUGAGUGGAGCGGCUGACCGGACCAAGAUGGCGGCCGUAUUUCUCUCUGCGCAGCACCCCGAGCGGUGUCUACUCUUUAUUAUGUCUAUGACUACCACCACCAUGCUUCACUGAUGAGGAGGACAUGAUACUACCACCACCAUGCUUCACUGAUGAAGAAGAACAUGAUACGACCACCACCAUGCUUCACUGAUGAGGAGGACAUGAUAGUACCACCACCAUGCUUCACUGAUGAGGAGGACAUGAUACGACCACCACCAUGCUUCACUGAUGAGGAGGACAUGAUACGACCACCACCAUGCUUCACUGAUGAGGAGGUAAUGAUACUACCACCACCAUGCUUCACUGAUGAAGAAGAACAUGAUACGACCACCACCAUGCUUCACUGAUGAGGAGGACAUGAUAGUACCACCACCAUGCUUCACUGAUGAGGAGGACAUGAUACGACCACCACCAUGCUUCACUGAUGAGGAGGUCAUGAUACUACCACCACCAUGCUUCACUGAGGACAUGAUACUACCACCACCAUGCUUCACUGAUGAGGAGGUAAUGAUACUACCACCACCAUGCUUCACUGAUGAGGAGGACAUGAUACUACCACCACCAUGCUUCACUGAUGAGGAGGACAUGAUACGACCACCACCAUGCUUCACUGAUGAGGAGGACAUGAUACGACCACCACCAUGCUUCACUGAUGAGGAGGUAAUGAUACUACCACCACCAUGCUUCACUGAUGAAGAAGAACAUGAUACUACCACCACCAUGCUUCACUGAUGAGGAGGACAUGAUACUACCACCACCAUGCUUCACUGAUGAAGAAGAACAUGAUACGACCACCACCAUGCUUCACUGAUGAGGAGGACAUGAUAGUACCACCACCAUGCUUCACUGAUGAGGAGGACAUGAUACGACCACCACCAUGCUUCACUGAUGAGGAGGUAAUGAUACUACCACCACCAUGCUUCACUGAGGACAUGAUACUACCACCACCAUGCUUCACUGAGGACAUGAUACUACCACCACCAUGCUUUACUGAGGACAUGAUACUACCACCACCAUGCUUCACUGAUGAGGAGGUAAUGAUACUACCACCACCAUGCUUUACUGAGGACAUGAUACUACCACCACCAUGCUUCACUGAUGAGGAGGACAUGAUACUACCACCACCAUGCUUCACUGAUGAGGACAUGAUAUUACCACCACCAUGCUUCACUGAUGAGGACAUGAUACGACCACCACCAUGCUGGAUCAGAAUAUGUGCUACAGAAAUGUUUGAUUCGCUGUAUAGAGGAAGAUUUAAUGCCACUAUGAGGUGGGGAUAUCUGUAAAGCUGGUAUCUUUGGAUCUUGAGCAGUUCCUUUCCUUCUCCAUACUCUUCUCUUUCCAUCAUUCUGGUCCAUGUAGAUCUUUGUCUCAUCCAUCCAUCGGCUGUUGUUCCAGAACUUCUCAGACUCUUUUAGAUGUUCUUUGAUAAACUCUAAUCUGGUCUUCCUGUUCUUGAGGCUCAUCAAUGGUUUCCACCUUAAGGUGAACCCUCUGUAGUCACUCUGGUGAAGUCUUCUCUUCAUAGUUGAUUUUGACCUCCUGGAGAGUCUUCUGGAUCUGGCAAACUGUUGUGAAGACUUUUCCUUGACCAAGGAAGGAAUCCUCUGUCUUCCACUACAUUUUUUUCCUGUAGUCUUCCGGGUCUUUUGUCGUUUGUCUCAUGUUUUGUGUUUCCUUUUUGUCUAAUUUGUGUUUUUUGUCUUAUUUCUGUCAUUUUGUGUUUUGCUUUAUUUGUCGCUUUUUGUAUCGUUUUUGUGGGGGUUUUUUGUCUCGCUUGUGUUGUCUAAUUUUUUGCCAUUUGCUCAUUGUUUUGUCGCUUUGUGACUUUUUAUCAAAUUUUUAAUCUCUUUUGUUUGGUGUCGUUUGUCUCGCUUUUUUCAUUUUGUUUCUCAUUCUGCAAUGUUUUGUCUUAUUUUUUGUUUUGUUUUGUCUUUCUAAAAUAAAAUACUAUAUGGUUCAGUUCUAGAUACCUGUGACUAUAUGUUGUGUUCCUUUGUAGACACCCUGUGAUAUGUUUACAUUGUCUAUUAAAAAAAAUGUGACUUCA
Acanthochromis polyacanthus (spiny chromis) is the source of this 2301-nucleotide long non-coding RNA. RefSeq lists it as uncharacterized. The record is from RefSeq and is a predicted model, not a curated record. Lineage: Eukaryota; Metazoa; Chordata; Actinopteri; Pomacentridae. The transcript has 2 exons.